AUGAAAGAAAGUUAUCAGUUUUCUGGAGUCUUUUGAACAUGAUUUUGCCUUAAAUUAAGUAAAUGUGUUGCAUGUUCUACAUGCAUGAUAUUUAAUUUUCUGUCUUUGACAAUUAAUUACCCUGGGUUGGGUUAUAAUAUGGGGUUUGUAUUCAACUAUUAAAUAGUUGUUGCACAUUUCAUACCACUGAAGUAGACAUUUCUUCAGUUUGUUAAUGACAUAUAUAAGCAAUUUGGCCAAUGUCACAGUUUUAUUACAUACCUCAGUCAAUAUUAAUUUGAAACCUAAAUUAAAGGCAACACCCUCAUCUUGUUCUUCCAUAUGCAAAGUGUAGUCUCAUUGAAUUCAUGGUCAACACGUCAGUUUUAAGGAGGUGGCCCCUGAAGUGAUAGUCAUUAACAUGCCAUUCUGCCCUGAAGAUGUUGAAAAGGGGGCUACUGCUUGCUGCACCCCCGUUUUCCCAUAGUCCCUCUAUGGGAAAGUAGUUGACAUCAUUGACCAUGUUGGCUUUGCUCUGUGUGCUCAAAGCAUGCCUAUGGUGCAGGGUUUGUGUACUCUUCCUCACGUUCCUCUCUCACUCUUCACACUGCUUAGCGGUCACUUGUGCACAGAAUGGUGUCAUGGGCACUGUUUGUCUCUGACAAUUGCAUCUGACAUUCUUUAUCUUUGUGCAGGUUACAGUCACUGGGAAGGCGGUCAGGGUGAACACAUCUUCCUCUGCCUAAAAGCCAUCAUGGAUCUCCGUAUCUCAAGGUACUGUAAUACAGAAAUAAUGCUCCAGUCUGCAGGGAUGCUAAACAAAACUGGCACGGUGUAGGACCUGGUGACACCUCUCACUACAGCAGCUGUGUGUCUCUACAAUCAAUUACACUGGCUGACUGACAUCCUCUCCAACCCUGAUCCUGGCUUGUAUUCACCCUCUGGAAAUCGCUCCCCGUUACUACAGCAACCACCUUUGGCAUAAUCCCCAGGCUAGUGCAGACCCCCAUAUCUCUUCGAGACAUGCUACUACUGCCAGAGGAGGGCAGUGCAUUACUUUUCUUCUGGUAAUGUUUUAAGGAAGUCACUGGAUACGUUGCGCACUGCAGUGUGUUUUAAUGGUGAAUAUGAGACGUCUCUGAGGGUUUAGACAAAAUCUCCCAUGUAAAAAGUCUCCUCGAAUGGAAUACUCCACUGAUCCCGGCUUUGAGGGGGCAUCCAGUGGCGUGAAAUCCCAGAGAAGGGAUGUCUUGGGUGGGAAAGGUUUAAAGGAGACCCCCUGGAAAACUAUGAAUAAUAUUAUUUCUUUUUAGCCGACUUUAACUUGGAUUUUGUGAAAAACUGUAUAGUAAUAUCUCAUGGAAAUAAUCAUGGGUAUAGCAGAGGUCAUCAAUAACGAGAAAGCAGUAUCAUUUUCAGAAUUUACACUUUUAAUGAUCUGCUUUAAAAAAUAAAAAAUAUUGGAAAAUUA
Molecule: long non-coding RNA, 1450 nt
Organism: Pseudoliparis swirei
Lineage: Eukaryota; Metazoa; Chordata; Actinopteri; Perciformes; Liparidae
Exons: 4
Source: RefSeq, a predicted model, not a curated record